Molecule: ribosomal RNA, 326 nt
Filed under: uncultured Pseudomonadota bacterium
Lineage: Bacteria; Pseudomonadati; Pseudomonadota
Description: bacterial SSU rRNA
Rfam family: Bacterial small subunit ribosomal RNA
Source: RNAcentral
AUUGAACGCUGGCGGCAUGCCUUACACAUGCAAGUCGAACGGUAACGCGGGCUUCGGCCUGGCGACGAGUGGCGAACGGGUGAGUAAUGUAUCGGAACGUGCCCUGGAGUGGGGGAGUAGCUCGGCGAAAGACCGGAUUAAUACCGCAUACGAUCCAAGGAUGAAAGUAGGGGGACCGGCAAGGCCUCACGCUCCUGGAGCGGCCGAUAUCUGAUUAGCUAGUUGGUGGGGUAAAGGGCCUACCAAGGCGACGAUCAGUAGCUGGUCUGAGAGGACGACCAGCCACACUGGGACUGAGACACGGCCCAGACUCCUACGGGUGGCAG